Canis lupus familiaris (dog) is the source of this 1794-nucleotide long non-coding RNA. RefSeq lists it as uncharacterized. The record is from RefSeq and is a predicted model, not a curated record. Lineage: Eukaryota; Metazoa; Chordata; Mammalia; Carnivora; Canidae. The transcript has 5 exons.
ACCAAGAGGCAGGAGAGGCGACCAGCUGGCAGCUGUUAGGUCCACACACGUCAACCACCCCCUCUUGAAGGAUGAGAACAGUCUUCUUACAUCUGGGACAGGAGCUGCCAUCACAGCUCAUAUAACCCUGUCAGGGGGCUACAUCUGGAAGAAGAUCUAUCUAUCUAUCUAUCUAUCUAUCUAUCUAUCUAUCUAUCUAUCUAUCAUCUAUCUAUCUAUCAUCUAUCUGCAGGGGUUUUCUUCUAGAGACAGCUCAACGCUGUCAGGCAAAAACUGAAGGGAAGCACACAAGUGUUCAAGGGACUCAACCAAGCAUGUUUCUGGAUCACAUCCAUUUUUGUUAUCAGGCGGUGAAGCUUAAGAAACUUCUGUUCCACCACAAGACCUGAUCAUAAACACUGCAUGUUGGAAACUUGAUUCAGGCACAUAUAUAUAUUUAUUCUUCUACUUCUCCAGCCUUAAUAUGAUACUUAAUCUGAAGACAUGAAUCAUUUUAAAUAGAUUUGUUUGAACAUCAUUUGCCUCCAUAUGCUAAUAACAUUCCAGAAUAUGUUGGAACAAAUUAAGCAUUUGUGAAGAAUCUUCAUGUGUGUAACUCCUGGCAACCUUUGGCAACAAAAUGAUUCAACAGAAAAGCUGCUCUCAGCUUGAAGUAGGCUCUCUGUGAAUUAAUGUCACCUCUAAGCUAUGCUGAUCGUCAGAUAGAAGCCAACUGUGAAGGCCUGGAGAGUCACCAUUAAAACAUUAGUCAUCCUGUUCGUACCCAACUGCUAGGCUGAAGCACAGGCAACACAGAUCACCAUGGUAGGAGGAGCACCUACCUCAAAUUAUACGAUGCAGUGAUUGAUUACUGGAAAGCAGGAGUAGAGUUAAACCUCCACCCCGCAGCUGUCUGAAAGGAUAAAUCUUUUUGAUUCAAGGAAUUUGUGUACUCUAAAGAAUAUCCAUAUGAGAACCUGGAUGAAGAAGAGGAGCAUCCAGAGUAUUCCAAACAGAUAUAUGACAGAGGCAAAAACCUGAAAGAAAUAGAUGUGCUUGGUAUUUGCAAGGAACAGUUAAAAAUGUGUUCCAAGUGAGCCUGUGGAGACCCAAAACAGCUUUAUUAUGAAGUUUUGGAAAGUACUUCAAUGCUCAAAUCUUAGUAUAAAUCAUCUUCUGGAAAUAAUUUUAUAAUGGAUAUAACUUGAAACAAAUUCAGUUACAAGAGCUGGCCUGGUGGCUAGGUCUCUGGAGAGACUGGUCUAGCCCUGGAGCAGGCCUGGUGCUGGGGUCCAGGCUGAAGUCGGGCACCUACCUUACUUCCCUGUGGUGGUGGAAGGUGUCUCUUUGCCCUGGGCUGCCUGGACAUGGGUGAAGGGUGAUCCGAUAAUUUGACCGAGGAUUUAUGGCUGGCAAUCCGUAUCUCGAAGUGUUUAUGUCUAGAAUCCCAGCUGAGGUGGCCUCAUGUCUCCACAAGGUCUUCUCCUAAUAAUGGCAGCCACACAUGACAACAGAUCCUGACACUAUGGUAUAUUUUGAGCCUUUGUCCCUUUCUUGUCUGCUAACAUUUCAUUGGCUAAUCAAAAUGAAAGGACAGGGAAGCAUAGCUCUCCUAUUUCUAUCAAUUCUAAGACUGGCUUUUUAAUCUGGAGAUCAAAAAAAUUUAUCUGUCCUAUGGGCUAUCACACAUUCUCAACAUAAAAUGGUAAAACAUGCCAGGAUAAGAGAAAAAUGGGAAAAUUAGAAAAGCAGGCAAUACAAAGAAGAGAAUGAUCUGUGGCAAUCCUGAAGCUUCAUUGGGCAUACAUUGCUGGU